UACGAAGGGGGCUAGCGUUGUUCGGAAUUACUGGGCGUAAAGCGUGCGCAGGCGGCUUCUCAAGUCAGGGGUGAAAGCCCAGAGCUCAACUCUGGAACUGCCUUUGAGACUGAGAGGCUUGAGUACGGGAGAGGUGAGUGGAACUGCGAGUGUAGAGGUGAAAUUCGUAGAUAUUCGGAAGAACACCGGUGGCGAAGGCGGCGACCUGGUCCGAUACUGACGCUGAGGCGCGAAAGCGUGGGGAUCAAACAGG
RNAcentral lists this ribosomal RNA (253 nucleotides) under uncultured bacterium. Its description in RNAcentral is "partial 16S ribosomal RNA". It matches the Rfam family "Bacterial small subunit ribosomal RNA", at positions 524 to 776 of the family's 1533-position model. The record is from RNAcentral.